UACGUAGGGUGCUAGCGUUGUCCGGAUUUAUUGGGCGUAAAGGGCUCGUAGGCGGCGCGUCGCGUCGGGAGUGAAAGCCCGCUGCUUAACGGCGGGUUGGCUUCCGGUACGGGCAUCGCUGGAGUGCGGCAGGGGAGACUGGAAUUCCUGGUGUAGCGGUGGAAUGCGCAGAUAUCAGGAGGAACACCGGUGGCGAAGGCGGGUCUCUGGGCCGUUACUGACGCUGAGGAGCGAAAGCGUGGGGAGCGAACAGG
RNAcentral lists this ribosomal RNA (254 nucleotides) under uncultured bacterium. RNAcentral describes it as "partial 16S ribosomal RNA". It matches the Rfam family "Bacterial small subunit ribosomal RNA", at positions 524 to 776 of the family's 1533-position model. The record is from RNAcentral.